RNAcentral lists this long non-coding RNA (998 nucleotides) under Homo sapiens (human). RNAcentral's name for it is "non-protein coding lnc-CALN1-1:3". Lineage: Eukaryota; Metazoa; Chordata; Mammalia; Primates; Hominidae. The record is from RNAcentral.
GGACCUAGGGACGCACGGGCGGCUUCAGAUCCGGGAGCGCGAGGCCUAACAGCCGGGGGCCGAACUUGAACCUCGGAGGCGGCCGCGGGCGAGGGGCGGGGCCGAAGGGGCCGGGACCGCCGCCCCAGCUCGAGGACCCGUUAGACCGGCAAACCGCAGUCCCUGCCCCGCGGGCUUCCUUUACUUUUUGGGAGUGGGGGGCGGUUUCCCUGCUUUUUCCACCACAGCCCCUCCUCCCGCCGCAAUGUGGCUGAUGCUCAUAAAAAGUUGUAUUAAAGAGCUGACUGCAGCCGAGAAUCGAUCAACAAAAGCGACCAGCCUCUCUGGGUCACACUCCUUCAGCUUCCCCGUUUCUGAAUCCCAGGUCUGGAUCUUUAUGAAAUCAGAUGGAGAGAUGGGGUUGGGGGGACGGGGGGGUCAAGUUGCCAGGAACAGAAAGGAACAUCCACCCGACUGUGACAGAUGAGCUUUAUGCCAGUCCAGGAAACAAAACAUUUGACCUUAGGUCUAUCCACGGCCUUCUCAACAGAUGACUUCAAGUUGAUUUCGUGCUUUAUUUCUUAAGAAUAGUGACUAACCUAAGGGAUCUGAUUCAAUUUAUUAGGAACACAGUGCCACCUUCCAAAAUUACUUACCUAAGAGGACUGAGCCUGCUGUCCCUGGAGCAGUUAGCUAAAACAGUGCCUCAGUACGGAGCGUACCUGUGUUAACUUCUAGAGUGCUGUUUCCGGCAGCUGCUGAAAUCCACGCUGAGGUUAUCAAGCUCAUCCUACAAAAUAAAGUGUCUCUGAUGAAUGACACAUUGAUCAACCCAUAUUCUUCAGACUCUACCAUGUGAAGCCAAUGAAAGAUGCCUGCUGGUGACCAAAUGAUGUUCAUGUAAAAUGGCCAUUCUGGCAAAUUUAAUAAGCUUUAGAUUUAUUUUAAAAACCAACCAGUAUUUCUAUCCCUUCUCAAGGCAAUGUUUUCUAUUUGAGGUUUCACUUGACAUGACCAGG